GGCAAGAUGGCCGAGCGGUCUAAGGCGCUGUGUUCAGGUUUCUUCUGGAAGCUUUCGCAGUGGAGCAAUCCGCGCGAGUUCGAAUCUCGUUCUUGUCA
Molecule: transfer RNA, 98 nt
Filed under: Thielaviopsis punctulata
Lineage: Eukaryota; Fungi; Ascomycota; Sordariomycetes; Microascales; Ceratocystidaceae
Description: Ceratocystis radicicola tRNA
Rfam family: tRNA
About the family: Transfer RNA (tRNA) molecules are approximately 80 nucleotides in length. Their secondary structure includes four short double-helical elements and three loops (D, anti-codon, and T loops).
Source: Rfam by way of RNAcentral